CCAGACUCCUACGGGAGGCAGCAGUGGGGAAUAUUGGGCAAUGGGCGCAAGCCUGACCCAGCAACGCCGCGUGAAGGAAGAAGGCUUUCGGGUUGUAAACUUCUUUUAUUCGGGACGAAGCAAGUGACGGUACCGAAUGAAUAAGCCACGGCUAACUACGUGCCAGCAGCCGCGGUAAUACGUAGGUGGCGAGCGUUGUUCGGAAUGACUGGGCGUAAAGGGUGCGUAGGCGGUAGUACAAGUUAGAAGUGAAAUACCCAGGGCUUAACUCGGGUGCUGCUUCUAAAACUGUACGACUUGAGUGCAGUAGAGGUUAGUGGAAUUCCUAGUGUAGCGGUGGAAUGCGUAGAUAUUAGGAGGAACACCAGAGGCGAAGGCGGCUAACUGGACUGUAACUGACGCUGAGGCACGAAAGUGUGGGGAGCAAACAGGAUUAGAUACCCCCGUAA
This 449-nucleotide ribosomal RNA is filed under the name uncultured bacterium. RNAcentral's name for it is "bacterial SSU rRNA". It matches the Rfam family "Bacterial small subunit ribosomal RNA", at positions 331 to 793 of the family's 1533-position model. The record is from RNAcentral.